UACGUAGGGGGCUAGCGUUGUCCGGAAUCAUUGGGCGUAAAGAGCGUGUAGGCGGUCCGGUAAGUCCGCUGUGAAAGUCGGGGGCUCAACCCUCGAAUGCCGGUGGAUACUGUCGGGCUAGAGUGCGGAAGAGGCGAGUGGAAUUCCUGGUGUAGCGGUGAAAUGCGCAGAUAUCAGGAGGAACACCUAUUGCGAAGGCAGCUCGCUGGGACGUAACUGACGCUGAGACGCGAAAGCGUGGGGGGCAAACAGG
RNAcentral lists this ribosomal RNA (253 nucleotides) under uncultured bacterium. Its description in RNAcentral is "partial 16S ribosomal RNA". It matches the Rfam family "Bacterial small subunit ribosomal RNA", at positions 524 to 776 of the family's 1533-position model. The record is from RNAcentral.